Molecule: long non-coding RNA, 417 nt
Filed under: Elaeis guineensis (African oil palm)
Lineage: Eukaryota; Viridiplantae; Streptophyta; Magnoliopsida; Arecales; Arecaceae
Description: long non-coding RNA (EGUI_LNC074745)
Source: RNAcentral
AACCUAAUCGGGUCAAACCCAACUGAAUCCAAUUUAAUUGGACUUGAUCCAAAAAUAAUUACUGAAUCAAAUUGAGUUAAUUAAUGAUCAAAUCACUAAUUAAACCUCUCAUAAAUACUGAAUCCAAAUCCGAUGGGCAAUCGGGCAUCAAAAUUCAUCGAUAUGUAAUCCUGAUCCAAAAGUCCCAACCAGUGGGACUCUUGACCCCGGUACCCAUAAUGUGUGGAACUCAUGAUCAGAGAAUCCUGAUUCUCGAUCAUUGAGUCCCAAACAUGUAGGAUUCUACAUCAGCCAUCAGAUCAGAUAGGAACCUCUAAUGUGUGUGACCCCGUAGGUUCAAACCUAAGUCGGUAGCACAGGAACCAAUUCCUGUACUAAUUGAAGUGACCAUCUAGCAAUGGUACCCGACGUCCAGAU